GCCCAGAUAGCUCAGUCGGUAGAGCACAUCCUUGGUAAGGAUGAGGUCACCAGUUCAAAUCUGGUUCUGGGCU
RNAcentral lists this transfer RNA (73 nucleotides) under Candidatus Zixiibacteriota bacterium. RNAcentral describes it as "candidate division Zixibacteria bacterium tRNA-Thr". It matches the Rfam family "tRNA". From Rfam's summary of the family: Transfer RNA (tRNA) molecules are approximately 80 nucleotides in length. Their secondary structure includes four short double-helical elements and three loops (D, anti-codon, and T loops). The record is from RNAcentral. RNAcentral also lists the same sequence under 1 other name. Lineage: Bacteria; Pseudomonadati; Candidatus Zixiibacteriota.